AUCAUACAUAAAUAACAGAAAGUAUAAACAUAACGAAAAUAAUAAAAUAAAUCCUAUAAAAAAUAAUGAUUUAAACAAAAACACAGAAGAACAAAAAAAUAAUAAAAAAAAAAGUAUUAUUACAUUUUUUAAAAAGUAUAAAUCAAAAGAGCUAGUAAUGAAAGAUAAAAAUAAAUCUAAAAAUAAAGUAAGACAUGAUUAUACAACUAACAACAUAAAACGAGAUGACAAAUUCAUAAAUAAUAAUAAUGCCAUUACAAAUAACCAUGAUAUGAUAACAACUGAAUAUAUAGACCAAAAUUUUAACGAAAUUUAUUACAUAUUAAAAACGAAAUUUCAUAAUAAGGCUCGUUUCAUUUUUAUUGAGAUAUAUAAUGUAUAUGUUUUCUCCAAAAAAAGUAGUAAAACAAAUAGUAAUCAGAAUGUUACAAAUGCUAAAACCGAAGUUAAUACAAUUGGCUCCAAUGCUGUUACUACUACCACUAUUACCACUACUAAUACUACUACUACUACUAAUACUACUAGUAGUAGUACUAACAAAAAGGCACAAAAUAAUGAUGGAACUUCCGUUUCUACUUAUGUUUUUAUUUUUAUAAAAAAUCACAUUGUAAAAUAUAUAAUAAAGAAAAAGAUACUCGUUCAAAUAUAUCAGAGCACAAAACAAUGGGAAUGUUACAUAAAAACGGAAAUAAGAAAUAUAAAAAAUGGUAGUACUAGUAAUAAUGUCUAUAAUACUAUUAAAAAUAAUAAUAAUAAUUAUAAUAAUAAUUAUAAUAAUAAUAAUAGUUAUAAUAAUAAUAAUAAUUAUAAUAAUAAUAAUAAUUAUAAUAAUAAUAAUAAUAAUUAUAAUAAUAAUAAUAAUAAUAAUUAUAAUAAUAAUAAUAUUAUUAAUAAUAAUAACAAUAACAAUAAUUAUAAUAAUAAUGAUAGUAUAAUCAUAUCCUCACAUAUUAACCUACAUGAAACAUAUAUAGAAGCUAUUGAUUAUUUGCUACAAAAUGUAAUAUAUGUUUUUUUUAAUGUUUUAAAAGAAUUUGUUUAUAUAGUUGCUACAAAUUUCUUAUAUUUUUUAGGUAUAAAAGAAAAUGAAUCACUAGAAAUUUAUUUUAGCCAAUCGAACAACUCAUUUGGUUAUUUUAUUUAUAAAAAAAAAGUUGCUUUUAAAAAAAUGUACAACAAAAUGAAAAGCAAAUUAAAAAAUGAAAUAAAAAGUGCAAAACAGAAUUUAAAUUACAAUAAACAAGUUGAUAAAAAAUAUAAAUUACAUUCCUUUUCAUUUGCAGACGCAAAAAAAAGAGAAAGUGAAAGUGAAAGCAGUAAAAAUCAGCUACUUCUCAAAGAUAUAAAAUCUCUAAUAAAUAAUUUAAAAAUUCAACCAAAAUAUUAUUAUUUUACAUCUCAUAGAGUGGCACAAAAUUAUAUAACAUAUACAAAUUACACACAUAUUAAAAAAAUUCUCUGUAUAUAUUUGUUUGCAGUUAUUAUUUAUUUCUUUUAUACCCGUUAUUUUAUUACUUAAUUUUACUUUAAUAAACAUACAUAACACGUAAAUGUUUGUCUUAUA
Long non-coding RNA from Piliocolobus tephrosceles (Ugandan red Colobus), 1564 nucleotides. NCBI's taxonomy places the organism in Eukaryota, Metazoa, Chordata, Mammalia, Primates, Cercopithecidae. The record is from Ensembl.